GAUGAACGCUGGCGGCGUGCCUAAUACAUGCAAGUCGAGCGAACGGACGAGAAGCUUGCUUCUCUGAUGUUAGCGGCGGACGGGUGAGUAACACGUGGAUAACCUACCUAUAAGACUGGGAUAACUUCGGGAAACCGGAGCUAAUACCGGAUAAUAUUUUGAACCGCAUGGUUCAAAAGUGAAAGACGGUCUUGCUGUCACUUAUAGAUGGAUCCGCGCUGCAUUAGCUAGUUGGUAAGGUAACGGCUUACCAAGGCAACGAUGCAUAGCCGACCUGAGAGGGUGAUCGGCCACACUGGAACUGAGACACGGUCCAGACUCCUACGGGAGGCAGCAGUAGGGAAUCUUCCGCAAUGGGCGAAAGCCUGACGGAGCAACGCCGCGUGAGUGAUGAAGGUCUUCGGAUCGUAAAACUCUGUUAUUAGGGAAGAACAUAUGUGUAAGUAACUGUGCACAUCUUGACGGUACCUAAUCAGAAAGCCACGGCUAACUACGUGCCAGCAGCCGCGGUAAUACGUAGGUGGCAAGCGUUAUCCGGAAUUAUUGGGCGUAAAGCGCGCGUAGGCGGUUUUUUAAGUCUGAUGUGAAAGCCCACGGCUCAACCGUGGAGGGUCAUUGGAAACUGGAAAACUUGAGUGCAGAAGAGGAAAGUGGAAUUCCAUGUGUAGCGGUGAAAUGCGCAGAGAUAUGGAGGAACACCAGUGGCGAAGGCGACUUUCUGGUCUGUAACUGACGCUGAUGUGCGAAAGCGUGGGGAUCAAACAGGAUUAGAUACCCUGGUAGUCCACGCCGUAAACGAUGAGUGCUAAGUGUUAGGGGGUUUCCGCCCCUUAGUGCUGCAGCUAACGCAUUAAGCACUCCGCCUGGGGAGUACGACCGCAAGGUUGAAACUCAAAGGAAUUGACGGGGACCCGCACAAGCGGUGGAGCAUGUGGUUUAAUUCGAAGCAACGCGAAGAACCUUACCAAAUCUUGACAUCCUUUGACAACUCUAGAGAUAGAGCUUUCCCCUUCGGGGGACAAAGUGACAGGUGGUGCAUGGUUGUCGUCAGCUCGUGUCGUGAGAUGUUGGGUUAAGUCCCGCAACGAGCGCAACCCUUAAGCUUAGUUGCCAUCAUUAAGUUGGGCACUCUAAGUUGACUGCCGGUGGCAAACCGGAGGAAGGUGGGGAUGACGUCAAAUCAUCAUGCCCCUUAUGAUUUGGGCUACACACGUGCUACAAUGGACAAUACAAAGGGCAGCGAAACCGCGAGGUCAAGCAAAUCCCAUAAAGUUGUUCUCAGUUCGGAUUGUAGUCUGCAACUCGACUACAUGAAGCUGGAAUCGCUAGUAAUCGUAGAUCAGCAUGCUACGGUGAAUACGUUCCCGGGUCU
Molecule: ribosomal RNA, 1372 nt
Filed under: uncultured bacterium
Lineage: Bacteria
Description: bacterial SSU rRNA
Rfam family: Bacterial small subunit ribosomal RNA
Source: RNAcentral